AGUCUUUGUUUACAUAACACAGAAUCAAAACUAAAAUAUUGCUCUUAUCCUUCCAUUCAGACGGUCCAAAUGUUGGUUGCCAACAUUAAAUGAGUUAUAUUUUUAAUUUUUAACAUCAAAAAUGAAAACUAUUUGUUUUGAACCAGUCCCUUUAAAAAGUCUGUUGAAUACACUAUAUACUGGGCCCGUAUUGUUAAUUUUUCUUCCAUCCUUUGGACAAGUGCGCGUCGUUCCAUAUUUGUUCUGCGUCCAACACAAUGUCCAGUGCUCCCACACUUGGUAUGUACACCAGGAAAAACUACAUCAAUCUGGUAAAAUUAGUAAUAAGAAACAUCGAUUUUUUUUUUUAAUUGGUGCUGGGGAUUCUCAGGUCUUCCUCGAGUUACUUCCCGUAGUAUCAACAUUGAAAACCGGAUAAGAGCAUUCGUUACAAACGGAAUAUAGAGGUGGAAAAAAAUAGGACACUUUUGCAAUCAUGCCAUGAUAAUAUGGAAUGCAAAUAAGAGGCACUAAGGUUUUGGAAAACAGCGUGUCAACAUCAUAAGUGGAGAAUGGGGGACUGUGGCUUGUUAUGGGGCGUGAUGUGGGCCGUAAUUUUGAUUGUGUUUGGCUGGCCGAUUGGUCUGAUCUGUGCGCUGUUUUAUUGCCUUCUCAGCCCCUGUGCCGCUUGUUGCCACAGCUGUACCGAACUGAUCAACCUAUUGGACCGUGGCGUGAAGUUACCCUUGACUUGUUCGCAAAAUAUGGUGAAUGGAAAGUCAAUGUGCUGAAUUGUUCAAGAACCAUGACACGUUAUGUACCCUAUUAUUAUCAUAACUAUGUACCAUAUAUUAUUUUUAAGUUGAAUAUACCUAGAGGGCAAUUUUAAUGUUAUGUAAAUCUAAAAUUGUUUGACAAAGAUUGGAUUUACACAUAAACUGCAAGAAUAAAACCACACAAAACUA
Long non-coding RNA from Ostrea edulis (European flat oyster), 944 nucleotides. RefSeq lists it as uncharacterized. The record is from RefSeq and is a predicted model, not a curated record. Lineage: Eukaryota; Metazoa; Mollusca; Bivalvia; Ostreida; Ostreidae. The transcript is spliced from 2 exons.